This 696-nucleotide ribosomal RNA is filed under the name Triticum aestivum (bread wheat). RNAcentral's name for it is "partial small subunit ribosomal RNA". Lineage: Eukaryota; Viridiplantae; Streptophyta; Magnoliopsida; Poales; Poaceae. The record is from RNAcentral.
AUGGAGACCCUUUUCGGAGCUCCUUACGACAUACGGCACGCUCCACCCUCACACGGCCAGCCAUCUCAGGUGUACUCCGACUACUUUGCCCGUGUCAAGGAUCUGGUCCAGCAUGCGAGCAAGAAGAAUGAGAACAAGCCGGUCAUCCUCGUGGGGCACAGCUUCGGAGCCAGGGCGGGCCUCGACUUCGUCAAUUCGACUCCCCUAUCAUGGAGGAAAAAAUUCGUCAAGCACAUGGUCCUAAUCUCGCCCACACCACCUACGGGCUUUGUGCAGGUGAUCACGAACCUUCUCUCGGGGCCAGAGGUCAUUGUUGUCCCAACAGUUAAGCGGCUGGGUUUACGUCUAAUGUGGAGAACUUUUGCAAGUUCCCUUACAUCCUUGCCGUCUCCUCUGGUUUUUGGUUACGAGCCGCUUGUUGUUACCAAACAUAGAAACUACUCAGCGUACGACUACAUGGAUUUACUCACUGUGCUCGGUUUCAGCACCGACGUCGUGAAACGGGUGCUAGCAACGAAGCUAAAGGCUGACGCACCAAUGGUGCCAACCACAUACCUUACAGGUGCCAGCAUCCAAACGCCAAAUCAGGUGAUGUUCUGGGAUUGUAACUUUGAUGUGGUUCCAGAGUAUGUAUAUGGCGAUGGUGACAAGGUUGUGAACUUAGUUAGCGUGUUGGCAUUCGUGAAAGAAAUCAGC